CAGCUAUUUAAGAGAUAGAAGCAGGGAUUUCAAGAGUACAAGGUCAGCCUGGGCUUGACUCAUCUCAAAACAAACAACCCCCAGCUCCCAGUAUGCAGUAUGAUUCAUUGUGACUUUCAAAGCACACGUGUUUCACAGAUUGUUCCUAAGUGCAUGCAUAUGUCGGAAGAAGCACUUAAAACCGAUAAGAGUCUCUCACUGCACAUGGAGCUCACCAACUGGCUAGACUGUCUCCAUAGCCCCAGCACUGGAAUUACAGAGUUGUCACUCUGAGGUCCUAACUGGUCUGGUGCAUAUUAUACAGCCCAGGCUAACCUUACACAGGCACCCUUCCUGCCUCUGGAGUACUGGGAUUAUGGCAGUGUGCCAUCCUGUUGGACACUAAAUGGAUUUGUUGUUGCUGUUUCUCCAAAAACUGUCUCAAGUACCCUGAAUGCCCA
This 440-nucleotide long non-coding RNA is filed under the name Cricetulus griseus (Chinese hamster). Its description in RNAcentral is "lncRNA (ENSCGRG00015043072.1)". The record is from RNAcentral. Lineage: Eukaryota; Metazoa; Chordata; Mammalia; Rodentia; Cricetidae.